AGACACUAGGGUAAAUCAUGUUAAACAUCCCUAAACAAAGGGCUAAACCAAAUGAAAAUUACUCCCAUGUCUUUGGUUGGGGCGACCGCGGGGAAACACAAAACCCCCACGUGGAAUGGGACUACUCCCUCCUACAACUCAGAGCUUCCGCUCUAAUUAACAGAAUUUCUGACCAGCAAGAUCCGGCAACGCCGAUCGACGAACCGAGUUACCCCAGGGAUAACAGCGCAAUCCCCUUUUAGAGUCCAUAUCGACAAGGGGGUUUACGACCUCGAUGUUGGAUCAGGACAUCCUAAUGGUGCAGCCGCUAUUAAG
This 315-nucleotide ribosomal RNA is filed under the name Micropterus dolomieu (smallmouth bass). RNAcentral's name for it is "partial 16S ribosomal RNA". It matches the Rfam family "Bacterial large subunit ribosomal RNA", at positions 2175 to 2569 of the family's 2925-position model. Lineage: Eukaryota; Metazoa; Chordata; Actinopteri; Centrarchiformes; Centrarchidae. The record is from RNAcentral.